RNAcentral lists this long non-coding RNA (660 nucleotides) under Triticum aestivum (bread wheat). Its description in RNAcentral is "long non-coding RNA (TAES_LNC020922)". The record is from RNAcentral. Lineage: Eukaryota; Viridiplantae; Streptophyta; Magnoliopsida; Poales; Poaceae.
GCUGUUUCAGCCGCUGCUCCUGCUGCUGGUGGUGCUGCUGCCCCUGCAGCUGAGUCGAAGAAAGAAGAGAAGGUCGUGGAGAAGGAAGAGAGUGAUGAUGUAAGAUCACUAUUCCCACCUGUCCCCUUGUUACGAACUUGUAUCAUCUCUAUAAUAACUGGCCUUGCAGAUUAUGAACCUGAUAAUGUUCUUGUUUUGAUGUUGUUUUCAUUCAUUUUUUAAGAUAAUGUACUAACUGUUUGUGCGUCUGCUUCUACUUGCAGGACAUGGGCUUCAGUCUGUUCGACUAAGUCGUGGGGCAUCUUGUGUCUGCAGUAUCUAUCCUUGGCCAGGAAACUAGAGUCAAUGAUGUUUUAGCCUUUAUUUAGCUGAGUUGUGAAACGCUGGCAAGACAAUGUUUUGAUAUGUAAUUCAGCCCCUGGUUGCUGGUUGAUUUACUGGUGAACCAUACCUUUGCUAUCCAAUUUUGGUGCUUUAACAAUGCAUUGUUUUGAUAUGUUCUGCCUGUUCCAUGUAUCCUCUAUGGCUUCCCCAUUUUCUUAAGUGUUUGGUCGACCUAAUUCAGAUUUCUUUGUAAAUCGGCACAUCCUUGAGUGUUAAGUGCCAUGGUCGUUACAGCAAAGCAAAUCUCAUUCUGCUUAGUACACCAAAGGAUUUUCA